GCCGCGGUAGCUCAGUGGUAGAGCGGUGGCCUGAAGAGCCACGCGUCGGGGGUUCGAUUCCCUCCCGCGGCACAA
Molecule: transfer RNA, 75 nt
Filed under: bacterium
Lineage: Bacteria
Also listed under: 1 other name
Description: tRNA-Phe
Rfam family: tRNA
About the family: Transfer RNA (tRNA) molecules are approximately 80 nucleotides in length. Their secondary structure includes four short double-helical elements and three loops (D, anti-codon, and T loops).
Source: RNAcentral